Molecule: small RNA, 28 nt
Filed under: Bombyx mori (domestic silkworm)
Lineage: Eukaryota; Metazoa; Arthropoda; Insecta; Lepidoptera; Bombycidae
Description: ovarian small RNA-14906
Source: RNAcentral
CUGCCCGAGGCCAAGGGAUGGCCCAUUA